RNAcentral lists this ribosomal RNA (510 nucleotides) under uncultured bacterium. Its description in RNAcentral is "bacterial SSU rRNA". It matches the Rfam family "Bacterial small subunit ribosomal RNA", at positions 15 to 518 of the family's 1533-position model. The record is from RNAcentral.
GAUUCUGGCUCAGGAUGAACGCUAGCGACAGGCUUAACACAUGCAAGUCGAGGGGCAGCAUAAAAGUAGCAAUACUUGGUGGCGACCGGCGCACGGGUGAGUAACGCGUAUGCAACCUACCUAUCAGAGGGGAAUAACCCGGCGAAAGUCGGACUAAUACCGCAUAAAACAGGGGCACCGCAUGGUGAUAUUUGUUAAAGAAAUUCGCUGAUAGAUGGGCAUGCGUUCCAUUAGGUAGUUGGUGAGGUAACGGCUCACCAAGCCGACGAUGGAUAGGGAACUGAGAGGUUGGUCCCCCACACUGGUACUGAGACACGGACCAGACUCCUACGGGAGGCAGCAGUGAGGAAUAUUGGUCAAUGGGCGGGAGCCUGAACCAGCCAAGUCGCCGUGAAGGAAGAAGGAUCUAUGGUUCGUAAACUUCUUUUGCAGGGGAAUAAAGUGCGGGACGUGUCCUGUUUUGUAUGUACCCUGAGAAUAAGGAUCGGCUAACUCCGUGCCAGCAGCUGC